RNAcentral lists this ribosomal RNA (432 nucleotides) under uncultured bacterium. RNAcentral's name for it is "partial 16S ribosomal RNA". It matches the Rfam family "Bacterial small subunit ribosomal RNA", at positions 28 to 507 of the family's 1533-position model. The record is from RNAcentral.
GAUGAACGCUGGCGGUAUGCUUAACACAUGCAAGUCGAACGGUGUCUUCGGACCUAGUGGCGGACGGGUGAGUAACGCGUGAGAAUCUAACGAUUGGUUCGGGACAACCACUGGAAACGGUGGCUAAUACCGGAUAAGCUGAAAAGUGAAAGAUUAAUUGCCAAUUGAAGAGCUCGCGUCUGAUUAGCUAGUUGGUGGGGUAAGAGCCUACCAAGGCGUCGAUCAGUAGCUGGUCUGAGAGGACGAGCAGCCACACUGGGACUGAGACACGGCCCAGACUCCUACGGGAGGCAGCAGUGGGGAAUAUUCCGCAAUGGGCGAAAGCCUGACGGAGCAAUACCGCGUGAGGGAGGAAGGCUCUUGGGUUGUAAACCUCUUUUCUUUGGGAAGAUAAUGACGGUACCAGAGGAAUAAGCAUCGGCUAACUCCGUG